This 1245-nucleotide ribosomal RNA is filed under the name metagenome. RNAcentral describes it as "bacterial LSU rRNA". It matches the Rfam family "Bacterial large subunit ribosomal RNA", at positions 1564 to 2818 of the family's 2925-position model. The record is from RNAcentral.
UGAAUACGAGAUGCUACGGCGUUGAAGCAGUGUAUGUCAGACUUCCAAGAAAAGCUCGCAAUGUCAUAAAUAAAGAAUGCCUGUACCAUAACCGACACAGGUGGGUAGGUAGAGUAUACUAAGGGGCGCGAGAUAACUCUCUCUAAGGAACUCGGCAAAAUAACUCCGUAACUUCGGGAGAAGGAGUGCCUUCUUUAAGAAGGUUGCAAUAACAAGAUCCAAGCAACUGUUUAUCAAAAACACAGGUCUCCGCUAAGUCGUAAGACGAUGUAUGGGGGCUGACGCCUGCCCAGUGCCAGAAGGUUAAAGAAAUUGGUUAGCACUUGCGAAGCUGAUGACUGAAGCCCUGGUGAACGGCGGCCGUAACGAUAACGGUCCUAAGGUAGCGAAAUUCCUUGUCGGGUAAGUUCCGACCCGCACGAAAGGCGUAAUGAUUUGGAUACUGUCUCGGAGAGGGACUCGGUGAAAUAGACUUGUCUGUGAAGAUGCGGACUACCUGCACCAGGACAGAAAGACCCUAUGAAGCUUUACUGUAACUUGAAAUUGAAAUUGGACUUUAUUUGCGCAGCAUAGGUGGAAGGCGUUGAGACUGAUCUUGCGGGAUUGGUGGAGCCAUCAGUGAGAUACCACUCCUAUAAUGUUAGAUUUCUAACUUUGAAUCAUGAUCUGGUCAAAGAACAGUUUCAGGCGGGCAGUUUGACUGGGGCGGUCGCCUCCCAAAUGGUAACGGAGGCGUACAAAGGUUUCCUCUGAACGGGUAGAAAUCGUAUCUAGAGUGUAAAGGCAUAAGGAAGCUUGACUGUGAGACCUACAAGUCGAGCAGGGACGAAAGUCGGUCUUAGUGAUCUGACGGUGCUGAGUGGAAAGGCCGUCACUCAACGGAUAAAAGUUACUCUAGGAUAACAGGCUGAUCUCCCCCAAGAGUUCACAUCGACGGGGAGGUUUGGCACCUCGAUGUCGGCUCAUCGCAUCCUGGGGCGGUAGUACGUCCCAAGGGUUGGGCUGUUCGCCCAUGAAAGCGGUACGCGAGCUGGGUUCAGAACGUCGUGAGACAGUUCGGUCCAUAUCCGGUGUAGGCGUUAGAAUAUUGAGAGGAGCCUUCUUUAGUACGAGAGGACCGAGAAGGACAUACCUCUGGUGUACCAGUUAUCGUGCCAACGGUAAACGCUGGGUAGCUAUGUAUGGAGAGGAUAACCGCUGAAAGCAUCUAAGUGGGAAGCCCACCUCAAGAUGAGUAUUCUCAUC